AAGGAAAAGAGAACAAGAGGAAGAAAGGAAGAGGGAAGAAGAAGAAAGAAAGAGGGAAGCAGAGGAAGAAAAGGAAAGGGAGAGGGAGGAAGAAAAGGAAAGGAGGAGAAAGGAAAAGGAAGAAAGGAAGAGAGCACAAAAGAGGCAAAGAGAGGAAAAGAAAAGACAAGAAGCAGCAGCAAGAAGGGUGCAAGAAGAGGCCAGAAGAGAAGAAAUAGAAAGACAAGUGAAACAAAAGGGAAAAGAAGCUAGGAAGGAGAAGGAAAGAGAAAUACAAGGUGGUGAGAGCCAAUCAGAAGAGGAGAAACAGAAAGGAGAAACAGGGGAAGAAGAAGGAGGAGGAACUAGAAAAGAAGAGCAAAAGCGUGAAGGCGGUAGUGGCAGAGGAAGAAGAGUGUGGAAAUUUUGAAGGGUGACCUAAUAGCUGCUGCAUUGGACGAUCCUCAGCUACUUUCUCUGUAGAUGUAGCAAUAAAAGCUCCUUCUACGCUAUGCAGUUUGCCCUGUUUUCCCUCUUUUUAUUCCUUACUAAGCUCUGCGAUCCAUGGAUGGAGAUUGGACAUCAUGUGCACCCUGUAAUGAAUU
Molecule: unclassified non-coding RNA, 584 nt
Filed under: Hevea brasiliensis (rubber tree)
Lineage: Eukaryota; Viridiplantae; Streptophyta; Magnoliopsida; Malpighiales; Euphorbiaceae
Source: RNAcentral